AUGCACUUUUCCUUUUCUUUUGUCGUCACAAAUAUACAAUUUCAGGCACUUUUGUUUUCCUCCGUGCCAACUCGUCGUACACAAGAGACAGAAAAGUGGUUGGCCCCUCCCUCCCCCUCUCUCUCAUACAUAGAUAUUUUUUUUCUCUCCCUCGUCGUUCCACAGAUGGCAGGUUAUCAGAGGCUGAUCACACAUUCCAUAAACAUUUGCUCCAUAAUUUCCUCCCCUCUCCCCAGCCUUUCCAUACAUCACCCAGCCUUCCUUCCUCCCCAAAACCUCACACAGAUCCUUCCCUCUCUCCUAUAUAUAUACAUUUCUCUCUCCCAUCAAAGCUCCCUCCCCUCCCCCAUCUCCAGCAGCCCUCCUCGCCUCCUCUCCUCCCGCGAGCAGCAGCCGUCCACGGCCAGAGACCAAGGCGGGCGCGGUGCGGUGCGUGACAGUCUGACGGAGAGCUAG
RNAcentral lists this ribosomal RNA (456 nucleotides) under Triticum aestivum (bread wheat). RNAcentral's name for it is "partial small subunit ribosomal RNA". The record is from RNAcentral. Lineage: Eukaryota; Viridiplantae; Streptophyta; Magnoliopsida; Poales; Poaceae.